Phyllostomus hastatus (greater spear-nosed bat) is the source of this 572-nucleotide long non-coding RNA. RefSeq lists it as uncharacterized. The record is from RefSeq and is a predicted model, not a curated record. The transcript is spliced from 3 exons. Lineage: Eukaryota; Metazoa; Chordata; Mammalia; Chiroptera; Phyllostomidae.
GCUAUUUCGGCCCUUUAAGGCAACCACAAGGCUGAUGUGGCCCCCGGUGAAAAGGAGUCUGACACCCCUGCUCUAAGGGGCUUUUCUCUGAGGAAAGAAUGAAACAGCCUGACAGGUGAAGUCAUUUCUUUUGAUUCCUCAGAAGUCUUGGAGGAUGCUCUCCGUGAUUUUCACACCAAGGGACGUGUUGGCCCCACCUUACAGGCCGACUCCUUCCCAGAAGGCCGUGAGCCGAGCCAAGGCAAGCUGGCAGGUCAGCAAAGGUUCCCAGGCACUCUGUUGAGCCAGGACCAUCUCCCUGAGCUGGAGACCUGCCUCCUGCCCCACGUGCCUCAUUCUCAUGACUUCAUGCAGGGAGAUGGCUGGACGAGGACAUGUAGGAGAGAGAUGGGACCUACAGUCCAGUGGGGAGCCAAGAGGAACACAAAGAGCUGAGCCCGAAGACCAGCAGGAGACCAGAUGGGCAUAUCAGACUCUGCCCUGGAUCAGGAAAACCUUCCCAUGGGAGGUGUUGUUUUAUCCAAACCCGAAGGGCCAUAGAAUUUAAUAAAGAAACAUAACAUCAAUAGCAA